CUUUUCCAAUAGUGCGCCACAUCGCCCCCCGUUUGUACAGAGAUUUGUCCAAGUAGCACGCCCACAUGUUCUUCUCUCUUCGAGUCAAUUACUGCCUGCGCAAACGAUUUCCUCUCUCUCUGCAGAAAUCGUGGUCUCUGUUUUCUUCCCUCUACCACCUGAUUGUCCUUACAAUCAAAUCUCGUCAUCGUUCAAGUUUUCACACAUAGUUACAUAUAUAUACGUAUUUUUUGUAAAGAGGGAAACAAGGAUCAAAAAUGCCGCGAAAGAAUUUUAUAGUUGAAGUGGAACCAGCAAAGGAAGCUAGGCCACCGAUGGGACCAGUUUAUCGAAGUGUUUUUGCUAAGGAUGGAUUUCCGGAGCCGAUUCCAGGACUUGACUGCUGCUGGGAUAUUUUCCGGUGAAUUUUUUGACCCUCUGUGUUCUCGAGUUUAUUUGAAAAGUGAUUUGGAGAUUUAUUUGCAUAAUUUUAUUCAACAUUUAUCAAUUCAUUUUCGUAUUUUGAUGUUUUGGAUUCGAAGUUUAAUUGUGGAGAGGUAUUUUGAAGUGUGUGUGUUGAAUCUGUUAAUGAUUUUUCCUAUUUUCCCCCCCCUUCCUGUUAUUACGUCUCAUUGCAGGUUUGACUUUUAUAAGAUGUCAAGAUUUGAUGUGUAAAAUAUGGAAUUUUGCAAUUGAUUUUGCACAGACUUGACAAAAAGAUCUGAGUUACUACUGGUUAAAGUUUGUCUUUAUCCGCUGCAUCACUCAAAACUGAAGUUUCUGCUUUAGAUGGAGUUAUGGAAGUUUUCAACUUGAAAGCUACAAAAUUGACUACGCAAAUAUGGAUAUACCACACUUACAUGAAUUUGAUGCACAUAUAUAUCACAAUAUGUAUACACCACAAUUUGAUGUGCAUAUAUAUGUUAAAUGUAUAGGAGCAAAAAGAAAUUGUGUUUUGGAAAAUUGAUUUUGAUGAAUAUGGAAGUUUUUAGCAUGAAAGCCAUGAUCUUGACUGCACAAAUAAGGAUAUACCCCAGUUUGAUGAUUUUGAUGCACAUAUAUGCCCCACGAACUUUUCACCUCAAGUGGCUACCUUGGAUCUGAACCAUUAAAUCAAAUUCAUAUCGAUGAUGAGCUACCAAGCCAAAAUGUAUAUACUUUCCUAUUUCUAUUUUUCUGAGAAUUGUUGGAAUAAUCAGUGUACGCUUUUAUUCCCCUAUGUGUUAGUGCCCUAGUUUAUGCAUUAUUGCAUCAGCAAGUCAAGUGUUUACCAUUGAAAAGAAAAGAAGGAUUAAUUAGCUUGCUUGAGUUAGUUCCAAUAGUUGAUUUGAUAGUAUGGUUGCAUAAAUAUACUGCUUGAAUUAUACCUCUUUGCCUUUCAUUUCACUUUUUAUGUUGAACAUAGAUUGAACUCAACUUUUUUCUGUCACAGUUUGUCAGUAGAUAAAUAUCCAAAUAACCGAAUGCUUGGUCGUCGUGAGAUCGUUGAUGGAAAGGUAGAUUGCAUGGUAGAAGCAAUUUAUGCAUCCAUGCUUGUAACAUUGACUUCCUACUUAUUUUCCCCCCUUUUCAUUUGAUGCGGACUGGCAAGAAAGGAUUCAUGGCUACCCCCAAUUAUUGUAUAUAAGACUUAGUUCAUAGUUUGUGGUUGUUUUGUAUUACACCUAAUUUUUGGAGUUGUUGCUUUUACUUACAGCCCGAUAAAUAUGUAUGGAUGACUUACCAAGAAGUAUAUGACUUAGUGGUCAAAGUUGGGAACUCCAUUCGCAGCUGCGGCAUUGAGGAAGUAAGUUGUUAUCUAGUGUGUCUCAAAACUUUCUCUCAUAGCUGCUUUCUAGUCUGUCUUCUGUGUUUGAUAAGAAAUGAAAUUCUAUUAAUGAAAAGGCUAUAUUCAUUAUUCAUGGUGGGAUUAGAUGUCCUUUGAAAUCAUGAAGAAUUAUUUCCAACUGAGAACAAAUGCCUUAGAUGUUGAGGCCCAUAAGUAACAAUGACAAGAAUUUUGUCUAUUCCCAUAACUCAAGAAUAUCUUUCUUCUCUCUUUCAAAAUUCUGCAAUUGCUCUCUUUCUAUAUCACCCUGAAGGACAGCAACAUUACUAUGCCUUUCUUCCCAAACAAAAACCAAUUUACAUUUAGAGGAAUAAAUGAAGCUAAGUCUACUUCAUGCAAUAAUCCUCCAUGUAGCAUCCAUGCAACUUCACAAUGUAAAAGCAGAUGAUCAACCCAUUUGGAUCCAACUACAAAUUACGCAGCAUGAAAGAGAAUAUGAAAAGACUUGGGAUGCUUCAUCUGAAUUAAAUCGCCAUUGCCAAUCUUUUUCUUCUGGGUUUUUCCUGUUCUAAUGUCAUUUUAUGUCUGUCAUUCUGUCGUACAUAUUAUCAGGCUAGCUUUCCCAGUUUCAAACACUAUGAAGACGCAUAGUCUUCUUAAUAGGCUUUCCCGUACCCAAGUUUUUUUGAAGAAUCUACCAUUAAAAAGUUAUUUCAAAGUUACCUUGCAGACAACCAGCUAUGUCGGGUUCACUUUCUUACUUUCAAUGUCAUAUCUUGGUACUUCAUUUGCCAAAUAUAGCAUGGUUUGUUAACUUUGCUUACGGGUUAUAUAAAUAUUUAUUUGGCAAAUGUUGUUAGAUUUCUGAGUUGUGACAUUGUAUUCUCUAUUCUUUUUUAAUUUUUGUUGUUUCUCUUUAUGUUGAUUUAUUUGACUUCUGCCUGGUAUGACUCAUUAAAGUUGAUUAGGUUCAGUCUUCUAUAAAAUACUAAUUGACAUGCAAAAAACUUAAUAUCUCACUUUCUGUUCAAUUUAAUAACAAUUAUAGGAAGGCCGAUGUGGUAUUUAUGGCGCUAAUUGCCCAGAGUGGAUUAUGAGUAUGGAGGUACUCUCUUUUUACUAUUUCUGCUCUUCCCUUUUCUCUGAAUGUGUGCAUAUGUAAGCAGCAUGUUGUAAGUAUCAUUAUGAGAGAAAAAACAUGUUAUAAUCAACUGUGCGAGAAAUAACCUCCGUAGUCCUUCAGGUCCUUGUUAUUUUAUGAGUCACAUGAACUAAUUCUAAUAAACUAUUCUAUUAUGUCUUCUCAUAGUUUUCAGUUCUUCUCUUACGAUCUUACUUUUCUGUUCUUUUUUUUUUUUUUUUUUUUUUAAAUAUAUUAUCUGAAUAUCUGUAAACUGGCUCGUAUUUGGUAUCGCACACAUUGAUCACUCAUUCAAAUAAACUAAGUUAUGGAAUGUUCACAGAAAUGCAGAAGAUUGUUAUUGCUUCUGCUCAUGUAUUUCAACAUUGGUUAGUUAACCUCCUAUAGAUCCGAGCUAUUUUAUCACUUGAAAUGGUACCUAAGGGAGCUAUUUUAUCGUCCCUCAGGAUCAUUGUAUAUUGUCAAUUGAUGUUGUUUACCAAUCAAUUUGGGGCCAAUUCUUGAUCUAUUCCAAAUAGAAUAUGGAUAAAUGUCCUGUUCUUUAUUGUUCUUAAAUUUUGCAUUUCCGCAGAUUAUAAUUUCCUUUGUUUUUUUUUAUCAUAAAGCUCAUGUCUUUUGUGGAUUCAUUAGCUCCGUUCACUUGUUACCCAUUUUCCUCUCUCCUUUAUCUUUCUGCGUGUUGUAAAUUCUGGUUAACUGAUGCACUACACAAGGACCACCAGAGCAGACAUGUAUAUAUUUCAAAAUUUUCUUUAACAUGAAGAAGUAAGUAAAAUGUGUCCAUAUAUGUUCUCUUAUUCCAUUUCUCUGCUUCUGUUUUUCUUUCCAUCUUCCCCUCUCUGAAUCUCUUGAUUUUGUGGUAAAUUCUUCUGCCUUAGAUGUCAAUGAAAUUGUCGAUGUGAAUAUCUUGUAUGGAUAUUGCUGUAAUUUUCUAACACCAACAAAUUAAUGCAGGCAUGUAACGCUCAUGGACUUUACUGUGUUCCCUUAUAUGACACCUUAGGUAUGGAUCAUCCUUUCUCUUGCAUGCAUCUGUCUAUUUAUGCACUCAUAAUCAGUUGAUAUGUUCCUCUGACAUAUCACAAGACAAAUAGGCUUUUAUCUUUAGUGAGGUUGUCUUUGUAAUGUUAUCACCCAGGAGGGCCAAGAUAAUAGGUUUUUAUUGGUUCUGGAUUUUGACCGAUUCUUAUGUACGAAGACUAUCCAUGUCCAUAUAGAUACCAAUGAGAAUAAAUUGUUUAUUGUAUAUGGUUUAGGUGCUGGUGCAAUUGAGUUCAUUAUUUGCCAUGCGGAGGUUACACUUGCUUUUGUAGAAGAGAAGAAGAUUCCCGAGGUACAGUUAUCAAGUUUUAGGAAUUUGAUUGCACAACGAAUUUUUCUGUUUGAUUUUUAUUUAUGGUUCCCUUUUUAUUUUAUUAUGUACUCAUGGUUUUCACUUUUAUCUGUUUUUACUGAUAGCUACAUAAACAAUUAAUUGUCUGGAUUUUUAUGGCUGCAAUAGUUUUAACAUUUUUCUGUGUAUUUAGGACAAUAUUUAAGGUAUCGAGUUUUGAAUUUGUUUACAUUUUGCCAAAAUUCAUCUACUUUUUGCCCUGCAGCUGGUGAAAACCCUUCCCAAUGCAACAAAAUACUUAAGAAGUAAGUCACCAGCAAUGUCAGAUUUCUGUUUCAUUAUUUUUCGUGGAUUUAAAUGCAAAAAAAGUGAUAACAUAAACUUCUUUUAUUUAUUUAUUUUUUGUUUCAGCUAUUGUGAGCUUUGGGAAAGUCACUUUUCAACAGAGGGAAGAAGUUAAAAAAUUUGGCAUUGCUAUAUAUUCUUGGAAUGAAUUUUUGUUAUUGGUAAGCCUUUUGAUUUCAACCUUUUAUUUCUUUCUUGAUUGUUUCACUCAUUGCCAAGUAUAGUGGGAAAACUUCUCAGCUAACUACCAUACGACUCUCAUUUCAAACUUAAGGUGACUACUUUGUUUACGAGGUUGAACAUUAGGUCAUGUCCAGUUUGCACCUCCCGUUGCCCCUAUUUAUUGCUUAGAAACAUGGCUAUGAUGAGUAUCAAAGUCAUUUUGUCCUAAUUUCUUUUCAUGCAUAAGCAUCACGAACUUUGGGGCCUAAGUUCUUGAAAUUUAAGUAAAGGUUUCUGCAAUCUAAUGGACUGAGAUGGGUAAAGUAGUUAGUCUGGGAUAAUAGAUCUAGCAUUGGACCUUAAAAUUUAGUGACACUUACAAGAAAAUCCUUGAAUCUAGUAGAUUGAUAUACAAGUGUAAAGUUAAUAUAACUUGCAUACGAGAUGUCAAAUAAGAGAGGAUAGAAGACGAAAUUGUUGGAAAAUAGGAAUAUAAACUAUAUGAGCCGAGUUUAAAGACGCAUUCUCAUCUAUAACUUCAGAAAUUUGCAGAAGUUUCUUUGCUUCUUUUUGAUAUUACAUGCCACUGAAGUUAGAUAAUUUUGCUUCAUUAUUUUAUGGUGUCUUUGGGGAAAUUUUGAAAUAAGGCAUUAUGCAUUGAGUGGUUGGCUUGUGUCUGGCUCUCUUACCAGUAGUUAGAGGCUUGCUUGAGCUGUUAUGGAUUCUUUUCUGAAGAAAUUAAGCAUCUCUGUCGACUUUGAUCGGGAAGAUUAUAAUAUCAUAUUUAUUUGGUAUGUUGAACCUUGUUUAUGCCCUCGAAAAAUGUCAAUAAUGCAUGAAUGAGACCGUAUUUUCCUCCCCAUUUUUCAAUCUGCUAAACAAAACAGAACAUUUGAUUAUUGUAUUUUGAAUUCUUUACUAUUUAUCACUUUUAAAUACUGAAGCAUGUUGCUGUAGCUUAGGAGCUGCAACUGUAUGUGAAAUCUUAUCAAAGAUCUUUUCUUUCCUUCGAGUAUAUGGGUUACAUGGAUACUUGGUCCUUCUCCUGGGGAGCCAUUACAAAAUUCUUAUUUCCAUUCUCUCCUCUGAAGAAGCCACUGGAAAAUUUGAUUGAUCACUAAGUGAUUGAAAUCCAUUUCAGUUGUCCUACUUCCAGCAUGAAGAAUUGUUGUUAGCAGAAUGAUUGAAAAAGUUACUGUAUUGUCCAUCAUGCAUAUUUUUGUGUUUAUUUACAUCAUAUAGGACAAUUUCCUCCUAAACUUGACAUGGAAAAUUUAAGCACUGAUACAUAGCCUGGUCCAUUGGGAAAGCGAACCAACAUUGUUAUUUUGAUCUGAAUUUUUUAGGUUCCUGAUAAUUUUGCACAGUCAUUAGAAAAGAAAAAGACUGAAGUUUUGACGAUCUGUGUUAUUUGUCAAUCUAAAUUUGUAAUUCAUAAAUUACCUUCUAUCUGGAAAACACCCUGUUUCAUGUGCUUGCUGCAAAUAUCUAACUCAUUUCUCUUCCAUUUCAACAGUAUCUGUUAAGUCAACCAAUAAUAUUUAUGAUAAUUGAUGGAAUCGAGUAAAUUUUGUGACUUGAAAGAAAGUAGCUAACUUUUGAAAUUCUGCCUUUAAAGGCUGUCUUUCUACCACAUUUCCUUUUCUAAUUUUUUAUGUCCUUUGGGGAGUUCAGCCAAGAAAUAAAACACGGGGACUGAAAAGCAAUUUACUGAAGAUGUAUGUGCAACUGCAAAUUGCAACUUAUGCAGGGGGGGAUAAUUUUCAAUUUUUUUGGUAUGGGGUGAUAAUGCAGGGAAGUGGGGACAAUGAAAUCCAAUUUAUCUAUGCUUUGUAGUUGCUACCAUAUCUUGAUUGCUAGGGCUUAUUUCAUGAACCAUUCACAACAAGCAAAUACAAUCUUUCUCUUAGUAGCAUCUCUUGCGUUUGUGAAAUGUAUUAACUUUCUUAUCUAGUAUGUGUAUAAAGGUAUAUUGUGUAUACCGCAUUAUUUAAUGAUACAAUCUAAUGUUGAUUGAUCCAAUAUGAUUGGAUAUAGUCUUUUCCUUCCCUUCUAGUAAUUUACUUUCUCAUUUUUUCUUCUAAUUAGUUUGGGUUGCUUACCUGUUGCUUGACCUCAUUAUGGCACCUCUGUCAUUUUGCAGGGAGACAAUAAACAGUUUGAUCUACCAGUGAAAAAGAAAAGUGACAUUUGUACAAUUAUGUAUACUAGUGGAACCACCGGCGACCCCAAGGGCGUUAUGAUUUCAAAUAAUAGUAUUGUUACGCUGGUAGCUGGAGUAAAGCGCCUUCUAAGGAGUGUUGAAGAAUCGGUAACUAUCGUAUAUUUACUUUCGGGACAUUGUCGUGGAUUAAGUGGAUGAAUAAGAUUUAGCCCCUCUUUCAGCCCCACUUUAUAAAAAUUCAUUUCCCCAAACCUACUUUCAAGUUUCAACCAUGCACCCAAUUAAAUAAUUUUACAUGUAAACUCAAAUUUUUUCCUACAUUUAACCACACAUUCUCCAAACAAUCAAUAUUACAUAACCUGUUUUCCCCUUAAAACAGGGCUCAAUCGGAGGCUUAAAAUGUUUCUACCAAUUUCAGUCAAAACGUUGAAGCAGCAAUUAAUUGAUUAUUUCGAAUCAUUUGAGUAGGAUUUUCAACUUCUUACUAUUUUAUCUUUCAGUUGACUGUCAAUGAUGUGUAUCUAUCAUAUCUUCCCUUGGCACAUAUCUUUGAUCGGGUGAUCGAAGAGUGUUUUAUCAAUCAUGGGGCCUCAAUAGGAUUUUGGCGUGGGGUAAGAAAGCUACAUUUAUUUUUCUAGUCAUACUGGAGCUUAUGUAAUAAAUUUUUAAUUUAACUUAUCUGCAGGAUGUUAAGUUAUUGGUUGAAGACAUUGGAGAGCUAAAACCUACUGUUUUAUGCGCCGUUCCUCGGGUAUUAGAUAGAAUUUAUUCAGGUUUGUUUUGCUCAUCCAGAUUUAUAAAAAUAUUACUAAUUAGUAGAUAUUUAUAUUUUCGUACACAGUUUUGGAAUGUUGAAAAAUAUAGUCCUGAUAUUAGAUGAUUUUUAUGAAAUUAUUAGAUACAAUAUUGCUUUUUGACUGUUUUAAGUGUAGAUAACCUACUUCGACAAUGAAAUCCAGUUUCUAACCUAUAUUAGUUCAAUCCAGUGGCCUAUCCUCAUGCAAAUAAUUUACUUGUCAAAUGAGCAGUUAGAUAUUGGUAAUGGAACUAAUAAAAUAGCAGCAUAUGACAUUUUAAAAUCUGGAAUGGAAAAUUCAUGUAUUCUGGGAGGGACAAGGCAACUUGCUGCUUGUUUGUUCUCCAAAGUAGUCAAAAAAUUUCUCUCUUUGGAUUGAUAUGUGCAUUUUGUUGUCCUUGAUUUCUGUGCUCAUUUCAGGUUUGCAACAGAAGAUUGCUGCUGGGGGUUUCAUUAAACAAACAUUGUUUAAUUUUGCCUACUCUUAGUAAGUUCUGUUUUAGCUUUCCUUAGUUCUUGAUGGACGAAGAGUAAUACGUGGAAGUUCAAACUGAACUCGAAUUUUUACUUCUGACUAUUUUUUUUACACUAUUUAAUAUCCUCUCUGUCUAUUUCAACUUGAAAUGUUGUCUAUUUUGAAUCCUUAACCAUUUAAGUUUUCUAUUGUUCUAAUAUGCAUGUUAAAAUUGAUGCAGCAAGUUACGUAAUAUGAGGAAGGGACUGAAACAUUCUAAAGCUGCUCCACUCUGUGACAAAGUCGUUUUCAGUAAGGUAGUGAAUUUAUGCUGUAUGGAUCUGCUAUACCUUUGUUUAUAUUCUUCCACGUUUCAACUUGCAUUUCUUUUGCGUGCUCUUUCAGGUAAAACAGGGAUUAGGGGGCAAUGUACGACUUAUUUUGUCUGGAGCAGCGCCUCUUGCCUCUCAUGUAGAAGAGUAUCUACGAGUAGUGUCAUGUUCAUAUGUUCUUCAAGGAUACGGUAUUUUGCUUUCAUCCUGUCAAGUUAUGCCUGCAAAUAUUGGAUAUUUUUCUCUUUGUUCAUGUUACAGUGACUUCCUGCUCCUAGUGAAGUGUGUUUUUAUCUGUUCAACACUUCAAAAUUAAUAAUUGCCCCCUUGCUUUGUGAUCUGGAAUCCAGAUGUCAUGUUAUUUUCCCAUUGAGAUGUCAGCUGAGAAUUUCAACUUACAUUAAUCCUCAAAAUUUUAAAUGCUAUGUUUAUGUUUGUUAUACUAGUGAGAAGCUAUAUUUAAUCUUUUGAAUUGAUUUUUCCCUAAAUAAUGCUACCUGUUUCUUAUCCUGAUGCCCUAAUAUUUGUAAGAUAGCUCUGGUUCAUAAAGUGUAAACCUUCCUUUUCUGGUUUUUAUAUGGAGAUUAAAAUGUAGAGUGGAGCACAAAUUCCAUUAUUUGCAGUUUUAUCACACAAUAUAUCAUUAAUUGUGUUCUAGUAAGUGUUGCGUGGAAGAGAAGAUCACCAAAGGCUUUAUACUGGGCUUAGUAUCCUCAACAAUCAACACCAGUAUGAAAAUCAAUUUAUACGCCCAGAAUCUGACGCGCUAGUGCUGAAAUUUAACCACGAUAAGCCAAUUCACCAAAGCGGAUCACAUCUGAAGGUCCAUAAAAUCGAGAUAUACGAAUCUGCUCCUUUAAGGCCAUCAUUAUUCACCCUAAAGAUUUAGCAGAUAUUCAAAUCCAAUUAACCAAUGAUCGCAGAUUGAGCAUCCAAGGGCAAAAUUAUCCAAAUUUUUUUGUAUAACCUGAAACACGAAAUUAACUAUAUUAGUACGUUUAGAAAAUUAAAACGAGCAACCUGUUUGAAGAAAGCUUGUCCAGAGUUGCCGUCACGUGCCGUCGCAGGAGAUGCACGUGCCACCACUGCCACGCGCCACUCGUGGAGGAGUGCCUUCACUUGCUGAAGCUGGGUCUCGAUCGAAACUUUCAGGUUCAGCCCCUUCGAGAAAUUGGCUUGGAUGCUGUUCAGUAGAUUUCCAGCCCGAAAAUGCUCACACGAAGCUCUAAUACCAGAUGUUGCGCGGAAGAGAAGAUCACCAAAGGGUUUAUACAGGCUCAGUAUCUCUAACAAUCGACACCAAUAUGAAAAUCAAUCCAAAACUCCCUCGAACCGCUUUUCACUUGCGGUUGCUUCUUGUUCACCCACUUAGGAUGUGCACAGCAAGAUAUAAUCAUAAAGAAAAAGUAAACACAAAGGCAGUGGAAAGGAAGCAGUAGAUAGAAAACCACAGAGGGAGCCGCCUGUUUUCACACAGAGAGAAGAGGUAGAGACUGAAUUCAUAUGACCAAGAGACGAGGCAGCCCAAGAUAUAUAGGUAUCAUUAGUGUACAGUAAUGGGUCAAGCCCAAUAGGUAAGUAAAUAUGCUGCUAGGUGGGUUUCCAAAUGUUAACCAUCUAGGUAAGUGGAAACGGGCCAUGAGCAGUACUAAUUAAAUUGGGUUGCUUCAAAUGGUCCAAACAGUUUUGGGGUCGGGUUAUUUCAUUAUGGUAUUGAUUUAUCGUUCAGUUAUUUGGUCGAUGUCGAUUGAGAAAAUAUACCGAGUUACACCACAGCCCUGGGGGUCGUUUGACAACGAAUUGCCCAACAGGAAGAUACUCUUGAUUAAGGGACAAGGAUAGAUUUUCUUUUUUAAAUGUCAUAAAUUGUUGCCUGUAGUACAUAGGUUUGUGUAGGUGUAAUGCUGAUUUCCUUAACCUAGAAAUUAAUUGAUUGGCAGUUGUAAUAGGUAUUUUCCAGCUCUAGAUGGUAUCUGACUUGAUUUCUCUACUGUGAUAUAGGUUUGACAGAAACUUGUGCUGGUACAUUUGUAUCUAUACCAGAUGAGAUGGACAUGCUGGGUACAGUAGGUCCUCCAGUGCCCAAUGUGGAUGUGCGCCUGGAAUCUGUUCCCGAAAUGAAUUACAAUGCCCUUUCAAGUACUCCACGUGGAGAAGUAUGCAUAAGGGGAGAUACAUUAUUUUCCGGCUACUUCAAACGUGAAGACCUUACAAAUGAAGUCUUGACUGAUGGGUGGUUCCACACAGGUUGGUUUGUUCUGUCACUAGUUCAAUUUAAGGUUCAGUAUUUCGAAUGUCUUUUCAUCUUCAUUUUGAUAAAAAUCUCUUUUGUCAGGGGAUAUUGGUGAGUGGCAACCAAAUGGAAGCUUGAAAAUUAUUGAUCGCAAAAAGAAUAUNAGAAAGUAGCUAACUUUUGAAAUUCUGCCUUUAAAGGCUGUCUUUCUACCACAUUUCCUUUUCUAAAUUUUUAUGUCCUUUGGGGAGUUCAGCCAAGAUAUAAAACACGGGGACUGUAAAGCAAUUUACUGAAGAUGUAUGUGCAACUGCAAAUUGCAACUUAUGCAGGGGGGGAUAAUUUUCAAUUUUUUGGUAUGGGGUGAUAAUGCAGGGAAGUGGGGACAAUGAAAUCCAAUUUAUCUAUGCUGUGUAGUUGCUACCAUAUCUUGAUUGCUAGGGCUUAUUUCAUGAACCAUUCACAACAAGCAAAUACAAUCUUUCUCUUGGUAGCAUCUCUUGCGUUUGUGAAAUGUAUUAACUUUCUUAUCUAGUAUGUGUAUAAAGGUAUAUUGUGUAUACCGCAUUAUUUAAUGAUACAAUCUAAUGUUGAUUGAUCCAAUAAGAUUGAAUAUAGUCUUUUCCUUCUCUUCUAGUAAUUUACUUUCUCAUUUUUUCUUCUAAUUAGUUUGGGUAGCUUACCUGUUGCUUGACCUCAUUAUGGCACCUCUGUCAUUUUGCAGGGAGACAAUAAACAGUUUGAUCUACCAGUGAAAAAGAAAAGUGACAUUUGUACAAUUAUGUAUACUAGUGGAACCACCGGCGACCCCAAGGGCGUCAUGAUUUCAAAUAAUAGUAUUGUUACGCUGGUAGCUGGAGUAAAGUGCCUUCUAGGGGGUGUGGAAGAAUCGGUAACUGUCAUAUAUUUACUUUCGGGACAUUGUCGUGGAUUAAGUUGAUGAAUAAGAUUUAGCCCCUCUUUGAGCCCCACUUUAUAAAAAUUCAUUUUCCCCAUACCUACUUUCAAGUUUCAACCAUGCACCCAAUUAAAUAAUUUUACAUGUAAACUCAAAUUUUUUUCUAUAGUUAACCACACAUUCUCCAACACAAUCAAUACUACAAAACCUAUUUUCCCCUUAAAACAGGGCUCAAUCAGAGGCUUAAAAUGUUUCUACCAAUUUCAGUCAAAACGUUGAAGCAGCAAUUAAUUGAUUAUUUCGAAUAAUUUGAGUAGGAUUUUCAACUUCUUACUAUUUUAUCUUUCAGUUGACUGUCAAUGAUGUAUAUCUAUCAUAUCUUCCCUUGGCACAUAUCUUUGAUCGGGUGAUCGAAGAGUGUUUUAUCAAUCAUGGGGCCUCAAUAGGAUUUUGGCGUGGGGUAAGAAUGCUACAUUUAUUUUUCUAGUCAUACUGGAGCUUAUGUAAUAAUUUUUUAAUUUAACUUAUCUGCAGGAUGUUAAGUUAUUGGUUGAAGACAUUGGAGAGCUAAAACCUACUGUUUUUUGCGCCGUUCCUCGGGUAUUAGAUAGAAUUUAUUCAGGUUUGUUUUGCUCAUCCAGAUUUAUAAAAAUAUUACUAAUUAGUAGAUAUUUUUAUUUUCGUACACAGUUUUGGAAUGUUGAAAAAUAUAUUCCUGAUAUUAGAUGAUUUUAUGAAAUUAUUAGAUACAAUAUUGCUUUUUGACUGUUUUAAGUGUAGAUAACCUCCUGCGACAAUGAAAUCCAGUUUCUAACCUAUAUUAGUUCAAUCCAGUGGCCUAUCCUCUUGCAAAUAAUUUACUCGUCAAAUGAGCAGUUAGGUAUUGGUAAUGGAACUAAUAAAAUAGCAGCAUAUGACAUUUUAAAAUCUGGAAUGGAAAAUUCAUGUAUUCUGGGAGGGACAAGGCAACUUUCUGCUUGUUCGUUCUCCAAAGUAGUCAUAAAAUUUCUCUCUUUGGAUUUAUACGUGCAUUUUGUUGUCCUUGAUUUCUGUGCUCAUUUCAGGUUUGCAACAGAAGAUUGCUGCUGGGGGUUUCAUUAAACAAACAUUGUUUAAUUUUGCCUAUUCUUAGUAAGUUCUGUUUUAGCUUUCCUUAUUUCUUGAUGGACGAAGAGUAAUAAGUGGAAGUUCAAAUUGAACUCGAAUUUUUACUUCUGACUAUUUUUUACACUACUUAAUAUCCUGUCUGUCUAUUUCAACUUGAAAUGUUGUCUAUUUUGAAUCCUUAACCAUUUAUGUUUUCUAUUGUUCUAAUAUGCAUGUUAAAAUUGAUGCAGCAAGUUACGUAAUAUGAGGAAGGGACUGAAACAUUCUAAAGCUGCUCCACUCUGUGACAAAAUCGUUUUCAGUAAGGUAGUGAAUUUAUGCUGUAUGGAUCUGCUAUACCUUUGUUUAUAUUCUUCCACGUUUCAACUUGCAUUUCUUUUGCGUGCUCUUUCAGGUAAAACAGGGAUUAGGGGGCAAUGUAAGACUUAUUUUGUCUGGAGCAGCGCCUCUUGCCUCUCAUGUAGAAGAGUAUCUACGAGUAGUGUCAUGUUCAUAUGUUCUUCAAGGAUACGGUAUUUUGCUUUCAUUCUGUCAAGUUAUGCCUGCAAAUAUUGGAUAUUUUUCUCUUUGUUCAUGUUACAGUAACUUCCUGCUCCUAGUGAAGUGUGUUUUUAUCUGUUCAACACUUCAAAAUUAAUAAUUGCCCCCUUGCUUUGCGAUCUGGAAUCCAGAUGUCAUGUUAUUUUCCCAUAGAGAUGUCAGCUGAGAAUAUCAACGUACUUUAAUCCACAAAAUUUUAAAUGCUAUGUUUAUGUUUGUUAGACUAGUGAGAAGCUAUAUUUAAUCUUUUGAAUUGCUUUUUCCCUAAAUAAUGCUACCUGUUUCUUAUCCUGAUGCCCUAAUAUUUGUAAGAUAGUUCUGGUUCAUAAAGUGUAAACCUUUCUUUUCUGGUUUUUAUAUGGAGAUUAAAAUGUAGGGUGGAGCACAGAUUCCAUUAUUUGCAGCUUUAUCACACAAUAUAUCAUUAAUUGUGUUCUAGUAAGUGUUGCGUGGAAGAGAAGAUCACCAAAGGCUUUAUACUGGGCUUAGUAUCAUCAACAAUUGACUCCAGUAUGAAAAUCAAUUUAUAUGCCCAGAAUCUGAUGUGCUAGUGCUGAAAUUUAACCACGAUAAGCCAAUUCACCAGAGCGGAUCACAUUUGAAGGUCCAUAAAAUUGAGAUAUAUGAAUCUGCUCGUUUAAGGCCACCAUUAUUCACUCUAAAGAUUUAGCAGAUAUUCCAAUGCAAUUAACCAAUGAUCGUAGAUUGAGCAUCCAGGGGCAAAAUUAUCCAAAAUUUUUUAACCUAAAACACGAAAUUAACCAUAUUAGCACAUUUAGAAAAUUAAAACGAGCAACUUGUUUGAAGAAAGCUUCUCCAGAGUUGCCGCCACGUGCCGUCGCAGGAGAUGCAUGUGCCACCGCUGCCACGCGCCACUCAUGGAGGAGCGCCUUCACCUGCUGAAGCUAGGUCUGGCCUUAGUUUGCCUGACCAAUGACUGGUUUGGCUGGAAUCAAAACUUUCAGGUUCGGUCCCUUCGGAAAAUUGGCUUGGAUGCUGUUCAGUAGAUUUCCAGCCCGAAAAAGCUCACACGAAGCUCUAAUACCAGAUGUUGCGCGGAAGAGAAGAUCACCAAAGGCUUUAUACAGGCUCAGUAUCUCUAACAAUCGACACCAAUAUGAAAAUCAAUCCAAAACUCCCUUGAAGUGCUUUUCACUUGCAGUUGCUUCUUGUUCACCCACUUAGGAUGUGCACAGGAAGAUAUAAUCACAAAGAAAAAGUAACCACAAAGGCAGUGGAAAGGAAGCGGUAGAUAGAAAACCACGGAGAGGGAGCCGCCUGUUUUCACACAGAGAGAAGAGGCAGAGACUGAAUUCACAUGACUAAGAGACGAGGCAGCCCAAGAUAUAUAGGUGGUUUCAUUAGGGUAUAGUAAUGUGUCAACCCCAAUAGGGAAGUAAAUAGGCUGCUAGGUGGGUUUCCAAAUGUUAACCAUCUAGGUAAGUGGAAAUGGGCCAUGAGCAGCACUAAUUAAAUUAGGUUGCUUCAAAUGGUCCAAACGGUUUCGGGGUCGGGUUAUUUCAUUAUGGUAUUGAUUUAUCGUUCAGUCAUUUGGUCGAUGUCGAUUGAGAAAAUAUACCGAGUUACACCACAGGCUUGGGAGUCGUUUGACAACGAAUUGCCCAACAGGAAGAUACUCUUGAUUAAGGGACAAGGAUAGAUUUUCUUUUUUAAAUGUCACAAAUUGUUGCCAGUAGUACAUAGGUUUGUGUAGGUGUAAUGCUGAUUUCCUUAACCUAGAAAUUAAUUGAUUGGCAGUUGUAAUAGGUAUUUUCCAGCUCUAGAUGGUAUCUGACUUGAUUUCUCUACUGUGAUAUAGGUUUGACAGAAACUUGUGCCGGUACAUUUGUAUCUAUACCAGAUGAGAUGGACAUGCUAGGUACAGUGGGUCCUCCAGUGCCCAAUGUGGAUGUGCGCCUGGAAUCUGUUCCCGAAAUGAAUUACAAUGCCCUUUCAAGUACUCCACGUGGAGAAGUAUGCAUAAGGGGAGAUACAUUAUUUUCCGGCUACUUCAAACGUGAAGACCUUACAAAUGAAGUCUUGACUGAUGGGUGGUUCCACACAGGUUGGUUUGUUCUGUCACUAGUUCAAUUUAAGGUUCAGUAUUUCGAAUGUCUUUUCAUAUUCAUUUUGAUAAAAAUCUCUUUUGUCAGGGGAUAUUGGUGAGUGGCAACCAAAUGGAAGCUUGAAAAUUAUUGAUCGCAAGAAGAAUAUUUUCAAGCUCUCACAAGGAGAAUAUGUUGCCGUGGAAAACUUGGAGAAUAUUUAUGGUCUAGUUCCCGAUAUUGAAUCGGUAUGUGUGUCGAACUGUUGAUACAUAUACACAAUUAUGUGCACGUGCAUAUACAAGUUGCAAAUUCUUCUCUAUGAUAUCUAUCUGCAAAUCAGACAUGCAGGGGAAAAACAAAAGAAGAUAAAGAAAUGGUCUAUGUAAAAUGCAAUAAUGUGAUGGGCAUUUGAGUAUUGAUACAUUAUCUCGAUUGAGAUUUUGUAUCUCACAUUAACAUUUAUUAAUCUGCAGAUAUGGAUAUACGGGAACAGCUUUGAGUCUUUUCUUGUAGCUGUAAUCAACCCAAGCAAACAAGCAGUUGAACGGUGGGCGGAACAGAAUGGUAUAUCUGGGGACUUCAAUGCCCUUUGUCGGAAUCCAAAAGUGAAAGAAUACAUACUUGGAGAGCUCUCAAAGACUGCGAAGGAAAAGAAGGUAUUUUCCUCCUCUUACCUCUUUAUUCAAUCAUUGUAGACUUCUUAAUCAUUCUGAUGGCACCUGUCUUUCAUGCUAGUUGCUGAAAGUAUAGCAGAAGAAAAAUGUUUUGGAAGUUUCAAUGCUUCUCUAAGCUUUGCUAUUACAUAUUUUGCAGUUAAAGGGUUUUGAAUUCAUAAAAGCAGUACACCUUGAUCCGGAACCAUUUGACAUGGAACGAGACCUUCUCACUCCGACAUUUAAGAAGAAAAGGCCCCAGCUGCUUAAGUACUACCAGGUAGAUUUUCUAUGACCAGUCUAAGGAGAUCAUAAGAUGCCUUUUGUUUCUGGUUUAAUAAAUUGCCAUCCUUUUUUUGCUUAAAAAAAAAAAAAAAAGUGUCAGCAAAUGUAUUCCCACCACCUGCUUGGUUUCUCUGGUCUCCAACCAUUCUCCUUUCUGUCUCUCCGUUGAUAUUCAUGGACUCACUCGAAUUUGCAAAGCAGUAUUUCUUUUCUUGAAAGUUGCUGGUGUUAUCCUCGAGGCACGUAGGAACUUUCUACAUUUUCCGAGCAUCUUGCCAUUCUUACCACCCAAAUGAAAGAGCUAUAUUGGCUGGUGUUAUCGUAUUUACAAGCCAAAUUUUAUGUUACCCAGUGAUGCGCAACGUUUCUAUGUUCCUAAGACGGUUACUUUGUUUUGCAGAAUGUUAUUGACAGCAUGUAUAAGAAUGCAAAAUAAGCAGGCUGCUCUGACGAACUUCCUUAUGGGAUAUCACCAUAAAGUUGCUAUGCUUUGAUAACACCAUUCUGCCGGUCACAUUUUAUUUCUGUAACACUUUUACAUGUCUACGCAUCAUCAUUCCCCUACCCUGUCGAGAACGAAAAAAAAAUAAAAAUAAAAAAAAAGAAGAAAAGAGCUUUACGUUUUGGAUGUACAUAUGGCUGAUAACGAUUGAAAUUGUCUCAAUUUCAUUGUAUUAUUAAACGUUUAGAUUAUUUUCUUUUUGGAUACAACGCCAGUUGUGACUUUUGAGCUAGAAAGUUAUUUUGUUUAUGCCGAUAAUAGUGAAGAUAUGUUUCAGGUU
Molecule: long non-coding RNA, 17020 nt
Filed under: Olea europaea subsp. europaea
Lineage: Eukaryota; Viridiplantae; Streptophyta; Magnoliopsida; Lamiales; Oleaceae
Source: RNAcentral